Non-coding RNA from Pelobates cultripes (western spadefoot toad), 89 nucleotides. NCBI's taxonomy places the organism in Eukaryota, Metazoa, Chordata, Amphibia, Anura, Pelobatidae. The record is from the annotation of a GenBank genome assembly.
AAAAUUGUGAUUGAAAACCCCUUCCAUCUGAAGUCUGUGGAUAAUUCUUUCCACAGACUUCAGGUGGAAGGGGUUUUCAAUCACAAUUU